UACGGGGGGGGCAAGCGUUGUUCGGAAUUACUGGGCGUAAAGGGUUCGUAGGUGGCCAACUAAGUCAGACGUGAAAUCCCUCAGCUCAACUGGGGAACUGCGUCUGAUACUGGUUGGCUUGAGUGCAGGAGAGGAACGCGGAAUUCCAGGUGUAGCGGUGAAAUGCGUAGAUAUCUGGAGGAACACCGGUGGCGAAGGCGGCUCUCUGGACCGAGACUGACGCUGAGGCGCGAAAGCGUGGGGAGCAAACAGG
Molecule: ribosomal RNA, 253 nt
Filed under: uncultured bacterium
Lineage: Bacteria
Description: partial 16S ribosomal RNA
Rfam family: Bacterial small subunit ribosomal RNA
Source: RNAcentral